CCUACGGGCGGCAGCAGUGGGGAAUAUUGCACAAUGGGGGAAACCCUGAUGCAGCGACGCCGCGUGAGUGAAGAAGGAAUUAGGUAUGUAAAGCUCUAUCAGCAGGGAAGAAAAGGACGGUACCUGAGUAAGAAGCCACGGAUAACGACGUGCCAGCAGCCGCGGUAAUACGGAGGGGGCAAGCGUUGUCCGGAUUUACUGGGUGUAAAGGGCGUGCAGCCGGGAAGACAAGUCAGAUGUGAAAUCCCGCGGCUCAACCGCGGAACUGCAUGUGAAACGGUUUUUCUUGAGUACCGGAGAGGUCAUCGGCAUUCCUUGUGUAGCGGUGCACUGCGUAGAUCUCAGGC
Molecule: ribosomal RNA, 347 nt
Filed under: uncultured bacterium
Lineage: Bacteria
Description: partial 16S ribosomal RNA
Rfam family: Bacterial small subunit ribosomal RNA
Source: RNAcentral